This 76-nucleotide transfer RNA is filed under the name Acidimicrobium sp. BACL17 MAG-120823-bin42. RNAcentral's name for it is "tRNA-Ala". It matches the Rfam family "tRNA". From Rfam's summary of the family: Transfer RNA (tRNA) molecules are approximately 80 nucleotides in length. The record is from RNAcentral. RNAcentral also lists the same sequence under 5 other names. Lineage: Bacteria; Bacillati; Actinomycetota; Acidimicrobiia; Acidimicrobiales; Acidimicrobiaceae.
GGGGCUAUAGCUCAAUUGGUAGAGCGCUUGCAUGGCAUGCAAGAGGUCAGGGGUUCAAUUCCCCUUAGCUCCACAA